RNAcentral lists this long non-coding RNA (1307 nucleotides) under Fragaria vesca (wild strawberry). Its description in RNAcentral is "long non-coding RNA (FVES_LNC004917)". The record is from RNAcentral. Lineage: Eukaryota; Viridiplantae; Streptophyta; Magnoliopsida; Rosales; Rosaceae.
CAGUUUCGACACCACACUAGCCUUUGCGGAUGAAGACUAAAGGAGUCAAACGUCUAGCUCAUGGACGUUAAAAGUAGCGCUCUAGGGAGGCAGCCCUACUUCGAGUCGCACAUUUGUGCAAUUUUGAGACUUUUUAUUUUUAUUUCAACUUUCAGUUUUUGGUUAUUGUAAUAGACUUAUUAGUGGUUUGUUGCACCUUUUUGUAACUAUUUUUGGACGAUUUUUUCUAUUUUUACUUCGUUAUUUUUAUUUUCUGAGUUUAAUUUUGUGAAAGUUGGAUAAUAUCUUGUUUUUGACAUGCAGCUCUACUGACUUUGCAGCAAAUCAGGUCAGAAAAUUUGCACGGACAUCCCAAGUGUUUUUCCAUUCUCUUGACACCCUACAUCUACUUUGAAGUAUCGACUGCAAGGAGCUUUCAUUUGAAGGUCAUGGUCUUGUACCUUGAGGCAGGUGCCUAAAUUUCAAUCCUACCCGAAGGCUGUGAGUAUGGGAUGUCUACAAGGGGGAGCUUUCUCAACUUUAAACUCUUACUUUUUGUUAAUUUUUUUUUGUUUAUGUUGUUUUGUUGUGAAUUCCUGUUUCCAUGCUUUAUUCUAUGUUGCAUGCUAUAUUCUGUUCUACAUUGAGGGCAAUGUAGAGUUCAAGUGUGGGGGAAGGAUUUACAUGUUUAUUGAGUCAUUUAUUGAAAAUUCAUAAAAAUUGAAAAAUGUCUAAAAUUUAAAAAAAAUUUCGUUUUGCUUUUUGAGUCUUUUGUUUUGUUUUUGAGUCUUAGAAGCCCUUAACUGUCUAUGAUGAUUGAUAAUCUCUAAAAUUAUGGAUAAGAUCACAAGAUUGAGAUGAUUUCUAACUGAUAUUCGUUGGUUAAUUGAAAUGAAUAGAAAUCAUGUGAAAUAUAUGAUUUGAAUCUCUGGUACAGAAAUGAGCAUGCUAAGACAAGUUGUAAUUCAUAUGAACCCUAAAUGUGAGCUCUCGAGCCUAUAUAUGUGCUAUUCUUUUUGAGUGAUAAUUGAAAUAUUCUUAUUCGUUUUCUUGGCUAUAAUUUUUCGAAAACCUCAUCAUUCUUUCAAUUUGAUUGAUUGCUCACCAUAGCUUUUAAUGAACUCUAGAUGACUAGAACUCACUCUUGUGGACUUUCAAAACUUUUAAUCAUAAAACGCUUUGAUUUUGGAAAGGAUAAAUGGAACUUUUUAGGAUGAUCACCAUUGCCAAACAAGCUUGUGUCCUUAUUUGUGUGCGCUGCACACCCCUUAGUUUAAACCCCUUUUGAGCCUUCGUUGAGCCUUUUCUUUCAUCACCCAUGCAAUUUU